UAUUAAAAAUUUCAUCCAUAUCUAUUGUUAAAAACAGGUUUGGCUCAUAAAAUAACUAUACAGUUAUAUAUGACGUGCCAAGUGUACCUCAUUCUGACAUACAUGAGUUAAUUUUUAAUAGUAGAAAGGGAUUGAAUUUUUAAUA
Molecule: microRNA precursor, 145 nt
Organism: Gossypium arboreum
Lineage: Eukaryota; Viridiplantae; Streptophyta; Magnoliopsida; Malvales; Malvaceae
Rfam family: MIR7502 microRNA precursor family
Source: Rfam